UCAAUUGCCUCUAUGGAUGGAUGAAUGGGGGACCAUUCUCUGACCACUAGAUAAUGAUCAUAAAUGAGACAUAGUCCCUCAGUCAUGGCCUUUUUCUUUAUCCUCUUCAUUAGAGAAAGAAACCAAGAAAUAGUCAUUGCCCAAGUCAAUGAUAUGAAUAACCCCUGGAAAGAAACCAAGCCUUGUCUCCAAAGCUUUGUAGCCUAUCUUUCUAUAUGCCUUUGUUCCACACGAAUUUCACCCACUUCAUCUUCAGACUUGUCAUCACUCCCUAUCUUUGUCUCCAUUCCAUAAUCACUAACAACACUCAGAUCAUCCUUAUUUCUGCAGUGCCC
RNAcentral lists this long non-coding RNA (335 nucleotides) under Glycine max (soybean). RNAcentral describes it as "long non-coding RNA (GMAX_LNC002620)". The record is from RNAcentral. Lineage: Eukaryota; Viridiplantae; Streptophyta; Magnoliopsida; Fabales; Fabaceae.